UUCAAAUACAGAGCAAUAUUGUAUGCUCAAAAAAUGGAGAAAAUAUAUUAUUUUCUACUAAUACAAUUGCUCAGAGAAAUAGAUUUUGUUUAACAAGUAAUACUAUUUCUUAAAAAGGUAGGGAUCAAAAUUAUUGACACCCCUAAAGAUUCUUAGAAAUAAAGUUGUCAAAAGUUUAGUAAUCAGUCCCAUAUUCCUAGCACACAUUGACUACAUCAAGCUUAUGACUAUACAAACUUGUUGGAUGCAUUUUCAGUUAGUUUUGGUUGUGUUUCAGGUUAUUUUCGCCCAAUAGAAAUGGAUAAUAAUGUAUUGGGUCAUUGGGGAGUAACUUUUAUUGUAAAUAAGAAUAGAAUGUGUUUCUAAACAGUUUUACAUUAAUGUGGAUGCUACCAUGAUUAUGGAUCAUCCUGAAUGAAUCGUGAAUAAUGAUGAUAGAGAAAAUUACAUAGGAUCAAAGAUCAUAGCCCCAAGACAUGCUAACCUCCCCUGUUAUUGGUAAUGGUGAGAGGUUAUCACCAUUACCAAUAACAGACUACUAUAUUUAUAAGAAUCUAUAGGGGUGUCAAUGAUUUUGACCCAUAUUUCUUUACGAAAAAUAAUCUUCCACUUAUCAAUUAUAUUAGAAUAAAAUAAUAUUUCCCCAUUUGUUGUUAUAUAGCUCAGUAUUUGAAUUAUAUAUUGUAUACAUUCAUUAUUGAUCAUGUUUAUCAAGGGUUUCAAUAAUUUCGGACCCCACUGUACAUCAAUUAUGUUUUCCGUUUGUUAAGUUAACUUUUUCCUCAUAUUUCCUCCCCACCUAGAAUAUGCCACUCAAAUCAUGACUUUUGUGUGAAUGCACAUUCAAUGGGAUUUCUGCCCAUACUGUGUUAUGUGUGUUUUUGGCAGUGAAAGGGGGAAGAGGAGGCAAAGGCAAGGAUGACGGCAUUCCAGCGAAAAAGCUUUUCUGCCUUUUGUGCACAGGGGCCUUGCCGGAUCUGUCACUGAUGUUGAGGAACUGAGGAAUGGCGCCACAGUCAAGCCAACCAACUUUGGAGAGGAAAACUGAAGG
This 1051-nucleotide long non-coding RNA is filed under the name Salmo trutta (river trout). Its description in RNAcentral is "lncRNA (ENSSTUG00000015705.1)". Lineage: Eukaryota; Metazoa; Chordata; Actinopteri; Salmoniformes; Salmonidae. The record is from RNAcentral.